AAAAAAAUUCUUUCGAUUUCGAUUAGAUACUUUUUUCUUUUUUUAGUAAAUUGGUAUUUGCUUCCGCAAUUCCAAUUAUAUCAAUACUUUAUUUAAUUUACUCCUAUUUAUUACUCCUGGAAUUAUCUAUUUAUCGGGACAGAUAAUACCCCAUUCUAGGAAGGGCUGAGUUGAGUAUUAUUAAUUUAGAAGAUAUGCUCACCUUCUUAUUUCCCGUCCUUAGUUUAGGAAAGUGGAAAGUUUUUUCCUUUUAUUUUAGGAAUUUUGGGAACAGAACAUUUCAACAAAGGAAGUCUUUCACCGGUCAAACAAGACGUAAGACUUAAUCUAAAAGAAAUUACUAGAUUGAAUCUAUUUGCAUUAAAAAAACCGAUCAAAAAAGGGCGAGCGAAGUAAGUGAUCGAAAAACUUUGUUCUUUGUUCGUCCUAUCUAUAAGAGGAGAGCAUAUGAAAAAUGUAACCCAUUCUUUCAUUUUUUUAGCUCACUGGCCAUCCGCUGGCAGUUUCGGGCUUAAUACCGAAAUUUUAGCAACAAAUCUAGUAAAUCUAACUGUAGUGGUUGGUGUUUUGAUUUUUUUUGGAAAGGGAGUGUGUGCGAGUUGUCUAUUUCAAGAAUAGAUUGGAUCUAUUCGGCUGCACUUUAUAAUAUUUUUUAGUAUUUUUCGGAUAAAUAAGAAAAGGGUGCACGAUCUCGACGAAUUACUUCUGAAUAAAUUCAGAGAUCAUAUGGAAGAACCAUAGCAUUUCGCGACUCAUUGGUAAAUCAACUUUGAUUCUCUAUAAACCAAGAAUGUGAGACCAUUAACACGGUUAAAGCUAAACUGCUUGAAGUCCAGGCAAAAAGAGGUACUCUUUCUACAACUAUAUUAGUAUUAGUACCGAAUUUAAACGGGAAAUAGCUAAUGUAAAAUUUAUCUGAUAUAGAACACUCAUAUCGAUAAAAUGGUUUGAACUAUUUACUAGAAAAAAAGGGGGCACCCUGCCCUUUUUUAACCAAUGCCGAAUCAACGACCUAUGUAUAAAAAAGAGAAUUUUUUUGGAUUUGAAGAAAAAAAAGAAUUCUAUUAAUUUUCAUUUUCCAUUUAUUUAGUUAGUUUUUCUUAAUGAAAUUGAAAUUAUUAAAGAGGGCAAAUAAAAAUAAAGAAACAACUUUGCUGACCAUGAUAUAUUUUUAUCUAGGCAGAAGAGUCCUCUUAAUAUUUAUCUAGUCUUAUAUAGGUUUCGGUAUAUUGAAAUAUAAACAUAAAAAAGAAGAUAGAGGAUAGGCUCAUUACUUAAAAAAAAGAUAUGGAAAUAGCUAUAGAAAAAAAAUAAGGAGCGUGAGAGCCAAAUGAAUCGAAAGAUUCAUGUUUGGUUCGGGAAGAGAUCAUAAAAGUUGUAAACUUACAAAAUAAUCUACUUUCAUUAAAAGAUUUAUUAGAUAAUCAAAAACAGAGGAUCUUGAGUACUAUUCGAAAUUCAGAAGAAUUGCGUAGAGGGACCAUUGAGCAACUCGAAAAAGCUCGGAUUCGAUUACAGAAAGUCGAACUAGAAGCGGAUGAGUAUCGAAUGAAUGGAUACUCUGAGAUAGAACGAGAAAAAGCAAAUUUGAUUAAUGCUACUUCUAUUAGUUUGGAACAAUUGGAAAAGUCUAGAAACGAAACCCUUUAUUUUGAAAAACAAAGGGCAAUGAAUCAGGUUCGACAACGGGUUUUCCAACAGGCCGUACAAGGAGCUCUAGGAACUCUGAAUAGUUGUUUGAAUACCGAGUUACAUUUCCGUACGAUUCGUGCUAAUAUUGACAUUCUCGGGUCCCUGGAAUGGAAGAGAUAAUCAAAUUAAUUAGGCCUUGAACUUCUACUUUCGUUUAGAAUUUAGGCAUUAUUUUUCCCCUUGCUUCCGAAAAAAUAGUCAAGAAACACUAAUGGCAACCCUUCGAGUCGACGAAAUUCAUAAAAUUCUCCGCGAACGUAUUGAACAAUAUAAUAGGAAAGUAGGGAUUGAGAAUAUAGGUCGCGUAGUUCAAGUGGGGGAUGGGAUUGCUCGUAUUGUAGGUCUUGGUGAAAUAAUGUUAGGUGAAUUAGUCAAAUUUGCAGAAGGUACUAGGGGUAUUGCUCUGAAUUUGGAAUCCAAAAAUGUUGGGAUUGUAUUAAUGGGCGAUGGGUUGAUGAUACAAGAGGGAAGUUUUGUAAAAGCAACAGGAAGAAUUGCUCAGAUACCCGUGAGUGAGGCUUACUUGGGUCGUGUUGUAAAUGCUCUGGCUAAACCUAUUGAUGGGAAAGGCGAAAUUAUAGCUUCCGAAUCUCGCUUAAUUGAAUCUCCUGCUCCAAGUAUAAUUUCCAGGCAUUCCAUAUACGGACCUCUUCAAACAGGGCUUAUUGCUAUCGAUUCGAUGAUCCCUAUAGGGUGCGGUCAGCGAGAGUUAAUUAUUGGGGACAGACAGACUGGCAAAAUAGCAGUAGCCACAGAUGCAAUUCUCAAUCAAAAAGGGCAAGGUGUAAUAUGUGUUUAUGUAGCUAUCGAUCAAAGAGAAUCCUCCGUAGCUCAAGUGGUAACUACUUUCCAUGAGGAGGGGGCCAUGGAAUAUUGUAGUAGCUGAAAUGGCGGAUUCACCUGCUACAUUAUUGUAGUAGCUGAAAUGGCGGAUUCACCUGCUACAUUACAAUACCUCGCUCCUUAUACGGGAGCAGCCCUGGCUGAGUAUUUUAUGUACCGCGAACGGCAUACUUUAAUAAUUUAUGAUGAUCUCUCCAAACAGGCACAAGCUUAUCGCCAAAUGUCCCUUCUAUUAAGAAGACCUCCCGGCCGUGAGGCUUAUCCAGGGGAUGUUUUUUAUGUUCAUUCACGCCUUUUAGAAGGAGCUGCUAAAUUAAAUUCUCUUUUAGGCGAAGGAAGUAUGACCGCUUUACCAAUAGUUGAGACUCAAUCUGGAGACAUUUCCGCCUAUAUUCCUACUAAUGUAAUCUCCAUUACAGAUGGACAAAUAUUCUUAUCUGCGGAUCUAUUCAAUGCCGGAAUUCGACCCGCUAUUAAUGUGGGUAUUUCUGUUUCCAGAGUAGGAUCCGCGGCUCAAAUUAAAGCCAUGAAACAAGUAGCUAGCAAAUCAAAAUUGGAACUAGCUCAAUUCGCAGAGUUACAAGCUUUUGCACAAUUCGCCUCUGCUCUCGAUAAAACAAGUCAGAAUCAAUUGGCAAGGGGUCGACGAUUAAGGGAAUUGCUUAAACAAUCCCAAGCAAAUCCUCUCCCAGUGGAAGAGCAGAUAGCUACUAUUUAUAGCGGAACAAGAGGAUAUCUUGAUUUGUUAGAAAUUGAACAGGUAAAUAAAUUUCUGGAUGAGUUACGUAAACAUCUAAAAGAUACUAAACCUCAAUUCCAAGAAAUUAUAUCUUCUAGCAGGACAUUCACCGAGCAAGCGGAAAUCCUUUUGAAGGAAGCUAUUCAGGAACAGCUGGAACGGUUUUCUCUUCAGUAACAAAUAAAUUUUGCAUGUCUACUCUUGUUAGUAGAAUAGGAACCAUUGAGAAAGAUUUUUCAUUUGAAUCAUGCAAAAAAAAUUCUUUGUUUUUAGUUUAGUAUAGUUAUUUAAAGAAUAGAUAGAAAUAAGAUUGCGUCCAAUAGGAUUUGAACCUAUACCAAAGGUUUAGAAGACCUCUGUCCUAUCCAUUAGACAAUGGAUGCUUUUCUUUCAUAUUUUAUUCUUUCUUUUUUUUCUUCCGAGAAAAAACUGUUAGACCAAAACUCUUUUAGGAAAUCAAAAAAUCCAGAUACAAAUGCAUGAUGUAUAUAUUAUAUCAUGCAUAUAUCAUAAAGAAGGAGUAUGGAGCCGGUAGUGGGAAUCGAACCCGCAACCCCAAGGUUAUGAGCCUUAUGAGCUACCAAACUGCUCUAUACUCUUAAACUAAAGAGGGGUAACUAGUGGAUAAAAGAGGGUUGGAUACGCCCCUCUACCAAUAUCUAUACAAAUAGAAUAGUCCAUUUAUACAGAAUGGUAAAGAGGGCUCCUUUAUGAUUAUCAAUUCCAGAAAUCCAUACAAAUACAAAAGGGUAUUUUAUCCUUACCAACUGGAUCUUGUUGCACCCGGUAACAAACAUUCAUAAACCAUUUCUCGAAGUACGUGUCCGAAUAGCCCAAAAUGUCGAUAGUUAGCUCUAGGUCUUCCGGUCAAAAAACAACGUCGAUGAAGGCGUGUAGGUGCACUAUUACGCGGUAGGGAUUGCAAUUUUUCUCGCAUUUUCGUUUUUUCACUCAAACUCAAGGGAGAAACUUUGCUUCUUAUCUUUUUUUUAAAGAUUGACGAAUCAUAUGAUAUUUCUGUUCUAAUUUCUGUCGCUUCUUCUCCCUCUGAAUCAAACUUUUUUUUUGCCAUAAUGUGUCGUUGCUAUUAUUACCAAGUAUACGGUUCUAAUCCUAUAUGGAAAAAUAAAUAGAAAAAGAAAUCUAAAAGGCAGAUCCUCCCUCUCUAUCAAGAGUAAUGAACUAGGUGCUGAUACAGUACAAAAAAACAAACUAAAUUAACCAAACUUGCCUGAUGUUGAGGCAAUCAAGAAAGCUGCAUAAGUGAAUAUAUAUAACCCACGGAAAAGUGAGCUAAUCCAACCAAUCUUGCUUGCACAAUGGAAAGAGCCACGGGCUUAUCUCUCCAGCGAAUUAAAUUAGCUAAAGGUGUGUGUUCAUGAGCCCAUGCUAAAGUCUCAAUUAAUUCCUGCCAAUACCCCUGCCAGGAAAUUAAGAACAUAAAUCCAAUAGCCCAAACAAGAUGUCCAAAUAAGAACAUCCACGCCCAUACCGAUAAACUAUUCAUCCCAAAAGGAUUAUAUCCAUUGAUAAGUUGUGAAGAGUUUAACCAUAGGUAAUCUCUUAACCAUCCCAUCAAAUAAGUGGAGGAUUCAUUAAAUUGUGAAACGUUGCCCUGCCAUAAUGUGAUAUGUUUCUAAUGCCAAUAAAAAGUAACCCACCCAAUGGUAUUUAACAUCUAGAAAACUGCCAAAUAAAAUGCGUCCCAAGCAGAAAUAUCACAAGUACCGCCGCGCCCUGGGCGGUCACAAGGAAAACUAUAUCCAAAAUCCUUUUUAUCCGGCAUUAAUUUGGAACCGUGUGCAUCUAAAGCGCCCUUUACUAAAAUCAAUGUAGUUGUAUGCAAACCUAGAGCAAUAGCAUGAUGAACCAAGAAAUCCCUAGGUCCUAUUGUUAAGAAAAGAGAAUUACUAUUCUCAUUAACAGCAUUCAACCAUCCGGGCAACCAUAGGCUUCGACCCGCAUUGAAAGCGGGGCCAUUCGUUGAAGAUAAGAGUAUAUCGAACCCAUAUGUCGUCUUGCCAUGAGCAGAUUGUAUCCAUUGGGCAAAUAUAGGUUCGAUCAAGAUUUGCUUUUCUGGAGUACCAAAAGCAAGCAUGACGUCGUUAUGAACAUAAAGGCCCAAGGUAUGGAAUCCUAGAAAGAGGCUAGCCCAACUUAAAUGAGAUAUGAUAGCUUCUUUAUGGUCUAACAUUCUUGCCGAUACAUUAUCCUCAUUCUGUUCCGGAUUGUAAUCCCUAAUGAAAAAAAUAGCUCCAUGAGCAAAAGCCCCUGUCAUGAUGAACCCUGCAAUAUAUUGGUGAUGAGUAUAUAAAGCAGCUUGAGUAGUAAAGUCUUGUGCUAUGAAUGCAUAAGGAGGUAAAGAGUACAUAUGUUGAGCUACUAAGGAAGUAAUAACCCCUAAAGAAGCUAGAGCAAGACCUAACUGAAAAUGAAUCGAAUUGUUGAUUGUGUCAUAAAGGCCCUUAUGCCCACGCCCUAAUCGACCCCCCGGAGGAGUAUGCGCUUCUAAAAGAUCUUUAAUACUGUGCCCAAUUCCGAAGUUAGUUCGAUACAUGUGACCGGCAAUGAGAAAAAUAAAUGCAAUAGCUAAAUGAUGGUGAGCCAUAUCGGUCAGCCACAAACUUUGUGUUUGUGGAUGGAAUCCCCCAAGAAGAGUUAGAAUGGCAGUUCCCGCUCCUUGAGCGGUACCAAAUAAAUGAUUACUCGAAUCAGGGUUUUGGGCAUAAAGAUUCCAUUGACCCGUCAAAAGGGGUCCCAACCCCUGGGGAUAGGGUAAUACAUCUAAGAAAUUAUUCCAUCGAACGUACUCCCCCCUGGAUGCGGGAAUAGCAACAUGAACUAAAUGUCCUGUCCAAGCCAAAGAACUUACGCCGAAAAGUCCUAACAAAUGAUGAUUGAGACGAGAUUCCGCGUUUUUGAACCAUGAAAGGCUUGGUUUCCAUUUGGGUUGUAGAUGUAACCAACCCGCUAUUAAGGACAGUGUAGAAAGAAAUAGUAGAAAAAGAGCUCCAGUAUAAAGAUCCUCAUUGGUGCGUAAUCCUAUUGUAUACCACCACUGAUAAACUCCAGAAUAAGCAAUAUUCACUGGACCAGCAGCACCUCCUCGAGUAAAGGCUUCCACAGCGGGUUGACCAAAAUGAGGAUCCCAAAUCACAUGAGCAAUAAGUCUUACGUGUAAAGGAUCCUGUAUCCAUGAUUCAAAAUUUCCUUGCCAAGCUACAUGAAACAGAUUUCCGGACGUCCAUAGAAAGAUUAUUGCUAAUUGCCCAAAGUGAGAAGCAAAAAUGUUCUGAUAAAGACGUUCUUCAGUAAUAUCAUCAUGAAUUUCGAAAUCAUGUGCGGUAGCAAUACCAAACCAAAUACGACGAGUAGUGGGGUCCUGAGCUAAGCCUUGGCUAAACCUGGGAAAUCUUAAUUCCAUAAUGCCUUUCAAAUCCUCCUAGCCACUAUCCUACUGCAAUAAUUCUCGCUAAGAAGAAUGCCCAUGUCGUGGCAAUUCCACCCAGAAGGUAAUGGGUUACUCCUACAGCACGUCCUUGUAUAAUGCUCAAGGCUCUAGGCUGAGUAGCAGGAGCAACUUUUAAUUUGUUAUGAGCCCAAACGAUAGAUUCAAUGAGUUCUUGCCAAUAACCACGGCCGCUGAAUAAAAACAUUAAACUGAAGGCCCAGACAAAAUGAGCACCUAAGAAAAAAAGACCAUAUGCAGAUAAUGAAGAACCAUAAGACUGAAUGACUUGUGAUGCCUGUGCCCACAAGAAAUCUCGAUGCCACCCAUUAAUCAUAAUGGAACUCUAUGCAAAGUUUCCCCCUGUAAUAUGAGUUACCACCCCUUGAUCACUUAUAGUACCCCAAACAUCCGACUGCAUUUUCCAACUGAAAUGGAAAAUGACUAUCGAAAUUGCAUUGUACAUCCAGAAUAAACCUAAGGAAACAUGAUCCCAGGCGGAUACUUGACAUGUUCCCCCUCGGCCAGGCCCAUCGCAAGGAAAGCGAAAACCUAGAUUUGCUUUAUCGGGUAUCAAACGGGAACUCCGAGCAAAUAAAACACCUUUCAAAAGUAUUAAUACAGUCACAUGUAUGGUAAAUGCAUGAAUGUGAUGGACUAAAAAAUAUGCGGUUCCUAAUGGAAUAGAUAACAAAGCCACUUUGCCACCUACUGCUACUAACUCGCCGCCUCCCCACAUUAAGCUAGUACUUGUUGUUGCACCAGGAGCUGUUACGCCAGGCGUAGUAGCAUGGAUAUUUUGUACCCAUUGAGCAAAGAUAGGUUGUAAUUGUAUGGCAGUAUCCAAAAACAUAUCUUGUGGAUGGCCUAAAGCACUCAUGGUAUCAUUAUGAAUGUACAAGCCAAAAUUGUGAAAACCUAGAAAUAUACAUACCCAGUUAAGGUGGGAUAUGAUUGCAUCGCGGUGUCUAAGGACGCGAUCUAAUAGAUCGUUGUAUCGAGUAGUUGGAUCAUAGUCUCUUACCAUAAAAAUUGUUGCAUGUGCAGCAGCACCGACUAUUAGAAAUCCUCCAAACCACAUGUGGUGUGUGAACAAGGAAAGUUGUGAAUAUACAAAAAAGAAGAAUAGAUACAGGGUAUCAAACCUAUAGAGUUUUUGCUUCAAAGAAAUAGAAAUAUCAUGAAAUAGAAAUAUCAUCAAAUAGAGUCAGGGAAUGGAAUAGAGUCAUCGAAUGAAGCAUAUUCAUUAACAACUCCAUUUACAGAUCAAAAAUGAAAAAAAGAAAGCAUUGCCUUCUUUACUAUAUCUUGUAUUUAUCGUACUUUUGCCUUGGGGGGUCUCUUCCUCAUUUAACAAAUGUCUGGAACUUUGGAUUAAGAAUUGGUGGAAUACCAGGCAAUCCGAAACUCUCUUAACUGAUAUUCAAGAGAAAAGGAUUCUAGAAAGAUUCAUAGAAUUAGAAGAAUUUUCUCUCUUGGACGAGAUGAUAAAAGGGAAACUAAAGACACAUGUACAAAAACCUCCUACAGGAAUACACAAGGAAAUAAUACAAUGGGUCAAAAUAAAUAAUGAGGAUCAUCUCCAUACCAUUUUGCAUUUCUCGACAAAUAUAAUCUGUUUGGCUAUUCUAAGUGGUUCUUUUUUUCUGGGUAAAGAGGAACUUGUCAUUUUGAAUUCUUGGGUUCAGGAAUUCUUCUAUAAUUUAAAUGACUCAAUAAUAGCUUUUUUUAUUCUUUUAGUUACUGAUUUUUUUUGUUGGAUUUCACUCCACCCAUGGUUGGGAACUAGUAAUUCGUUGGGUCUACAACGAUUUUGGAUGGGCUCCUAACGAGCUUAUUUUCACUAUUUUUGUUUGUAGUUUUCCAGUAAUUCUAGAUACAUGUUUGAAAUUUUGGGUCUUUUUUUGUUUAAACCGUCCAUCUCCUUUGCUUGUAGUCAUUUAUCAUUCAAUUAGUGAAGCAUAAAUUCAUUGGAUCUCCCGAUAUUAAUAUUAAUCAAAUUAGCAAGCAUCUUUUUUUAGAAAGAAAGCCCUUUUCCAUUUUAGCAAAAUUCUUUCUAUUUAUACCUACUUUAAGGUAUUCAUCAUUGCAGUACAACUGUUGCAGUAGAAUGACAACAGAUUCGUGUAUAGGGAACUAGAUUAGCUUAGCUACCUAUCUAAUUUAUUGUAGAAAUUUUGGGAUCUGCGAUUGGACAUGGAAAAUAGAAAUACUUUUUCUUGGGUAAAGGAACAGAUAACUCGAUCGAUUUCUGUAUCGAUCAUGAUAUACGUAAUAACUCGGACAUCUAUUUCAAAUGCAUAUCCCAUUUUUGCGCAGCAGGGUUAUGAAAACCCACGAGAAGCAACUGGACGAAUUGUAUGUGCCAAUUGCCAUUUAGCUAGCAAGCCCGUCGAUAUUGAAGUUCCCCAAGCUGUGCUUCCCGAUACUGUAUUUGAAGCAGUUCUUCGAAUUCCUUAUGAUAUGCAAUUGAAACAAGUUCUUGCUAAUGGAAAAAAGGGAGGGUUGAAUGUAGGUGCUGUUCUUAUUUUGCCCGAGGGAUUCGAAUUAGCGCCGCCCGAUCGUAUUUCCUCUGAGUUAAAAGAAAGAUAGGAAAUCUUGCUUUUCAGAGUUAUCAUCCCGAUAAAAAAAAUAUUCUUGUGAUAGGCCCUGUUCCCGGUAAGAAAUAUAGUGAAAUUGUCUUUCCCAUUCUUUCCCCUGAUCCUGCUACGAAGAAAGAUGCUCAUUUCUUAAAAUAUCCCAUAUAUGUAGGGGGAAACUGAGGAAGAGGACAGAUCUAUCCUGAUGGUAGCAAGAGUAACAAUACAGUCUAUAAUGCUACGUCAACAGGUAUAGUAAGAAAAAUACUACGUAAAGAAAAAGGGGGGUAUGAAAUAUCCAUAGUUGAUGCAUCAGAUGGACGCCAAGUGAUUGAUAUUAUACCUCCCGGACCAGAACUUCUUGUUUCAGAGGGGGAAUCCAUCAAGCUUGAUCAACCAUUAACAAGCAAUCCUAAUGUGGGAGGUUUUGGUCAGGGGGGCGC
RNAcentral lists this long non-coding RNA (9744 nucleotides) under Triticum aestivum (bread wheat). The record is from RNAcentral. Lineage: Eukaryota; Viridiplantae; Streptophyta; Magnoliopsida; Poales; Poaceae.